UCUCUCACUUGAUCUUCAAACCACCAUAACUUUUGAUCUAGAGCUCCGAUUGCCGCUCCGUUUGCGGCCACGCGUUCACCGCGGAGAGCUCUACAAAACCCAUACAACCAAUCUUGAGGACCCAACUCUCUUGAAGGAGAAGGUUAAUCUUGUCUCCUUGGACCUUGGGUGUGGUUGUGUAUAUGUGAAUAUUGGAGCUUGAUUUGGUGAUUUUGAAAAGCUUGGAAAGGGUUUGGUGGUGAAAAAUCUGUUCUUGGAGGUGUUGAGGCCUUGAGAGCUUGUAGAUAAGUGAUUUGGAAGUGCUCCGGUGGAGCUUGGGAAAAUCG
Arachis duranensis is the source of this 326-nucleotide long non-coding RNA. RefSeq lists it as uncharacterized. The transcript has 3 exons. NCBI's taxonomy places the organism in Eukaryota, Viridiplantae, Streptophyta, Magnoliopsida, Fabales, Fabaceae. The record is from RefSeq and is a predicted model, not a curated record.